UGUUUGCGGAGCUUGUGCAGUCUCAUGCCGAGUGGCCGGGCGCGUCAUUACCGCGCCGCCAGGCGCCGGGCUGAUCAUUGGGCAUGGGGGGUUAAUUAGGGAGGAUUAAUUAUGGGGUUAAUUGGGGAGGUUAAUUAGGGGGUUAAUUAGAAGGGGGUAAUUAGCAGGGGGGUUAAUUCGGGGGUUAAUUAGGGGAUGGUUAAUUGGGGAGGUUAAUUAGAGGGGGUAAUUGGGGGGGGUUAAUUAGAGGAAGUUAAUUAGAAGGUGGUUAAUUGGGGGGCUUAAUUAGGGGAAUAAUUAGGGGGUGGUUAAUUGUGGGGGUUAAUUAGGGGUGGUUAAUUGGGGAGGUUAAUUAGAGAGAGUAAAUUAGGGAGUUGUUAACUGGAAGGUGGUUAAUUGGGGGGGGUUAAUUAGGGGAAUAAUUAGGGGGUGUUAAUUAGGGGGGGUUAAUUAGGGGUGGUUAAUUAGGAGAUGGUUAAUUGGGGAGGGUUAAUUAGGGGGUGUUAAUUAGGGGGGGUUAAUUAGAUAAGGAUAAUUAGAGGGGGUAAUUGGGGGGGCCUAAUUAGGGGGUGGUUAAUUGGGGCUGGUUCAUUAAUUAAAGGUGGAUAAUUAAUUAGUGGGGGGCUGUGGGAUAAAUGGGGGCGCAGUGAGGGUGCAAUGACACCGCCCGGCCACUAGGGGGCGCUAUAGGAACUGUAUAAUAAGCUGCAAUGGCACCGCCCGGCCGCUGGGGGCGCUAUAAGGAUUAUAAGGAUGCAGUAACACCGCCCGUCCGCUGGGGGCGCUAUAAGGGUUAUAAGGGUGCAGUAACACCGCCCGGCCGCUGUGGGCGCUAUGGGGGCUAUAAGGAUGCAGUAACACCGCCCGGCCGCUGGGGGCGCUGUGUCGCACCUUGAUGACGAGUUUGCAGGCGAAGUAGAACAGCGCCACCACGCGGCCCCAGUUGAACGUGUUGUCCGCGAACAUUUCCUUGGCGACCCGGAAGAAAACCUCGCGGGGGGCGGUGCAGCCCACCUGGGAGAUCAUCCUGCCAAUGGGGAGACAGAAAGCAGGUCACGUGGUUCGGCGAGAGGCGGGGCCACAGGGGUCAGCUCCACGUUGCCGUCCAGCUCGUCUCCCACCCUCCUGAGCAGCUCCCCCAGUUUCUGGGUCUGGGGGCUCCAUUCCUGCUGCCCCCCCAGCGCCGCCCGGCCCAGCUCCCGCACGGCCGGGUCCUCACAGCGCUGCACGCGGUCACGGACGAAGCUGAAUAUGAUGGGGGGGCACAGUCAGACCCCUCCCCUUUAAUAUAUGGGACCCCAACCUGCCCCAUUGGAUGCAUUGCCACCAUCCAAAAUGGCCGCCAUCCCCCUGUAUAACGUCCCAUAGGACCCCCCCCCGA
RNAcentral lists this long non-coding RNA (1381 nucleotides) under Coturnix japonica (Japanese quail). RNAcentral describes it as "lncRNA (ENSCJPG00005003338.1)". The record is from RNAcentral. Lineage: Eukaryota; Metazoa; Chordata; Aves; Galliformes; Phasianidae.